Long non-coding RNA from Haliotis rubra (blacklip abalone), 444 nucleotides. RefSeq lists it as uncharacterized. The record is from RefSeq and is a predicted model, not a curated record. NCBI's taxonomy places the organism in Eukaryota, Metazoa, Mollusca, Gastropoda, Lepetellida, Haliotidae. The transcript has 4 exons.
UUCCAUAAUAAAGGCCGUUAUUUAAAAGGCGAUCUGCCGUGCCACAGUAGCAUAGCUUGUGAGAAGAUUCAUUUGUGGCAAGUUUCCAGCGAUAAUGACGAAGUUAAUUCUUGUGGUGUUUUUGACUGUCCUGUCCAUAGCGGUCAUUGCGGCUGAAGACUGUCCCCCCAACUGUAGCCAGAGCCAGUGCACCUUCAUGGGAUGUCAAAACUGUGACGUGGGCUACUGCGCCAACCAGGAGGGCCUAAAAUUCGAAUGCGUGCAAAAGUGCCCGGCUGGAAAGUACUGUCAACAUACCUACCGUUUUUGUGUCUAAGUCAAACAACGGGGUGAUGGAAGUGAAGAAAGAAAAAGGAACAUCUUCCUGGGCUUCUGGCAUUGGUUACUCUUUGUAAUAAGUAUUCAAUUAUUGAAUAAAAUAAUUACAUAAAUUCAUGCAUUAAA